GACGAACGCUGGCGGCGUGCUUAACACAUGCAAGUCGAACGGAAAGGCCCUGCUUUUGUGGGGUGCUCGAGUGGCGAACGGGUGAGUAACACGCGAGUAACCUGCCCUUGACUUUGGGAUAACUCCAGGAAACUGGGGCUAAUACCGGAUAUGAGCUCCUGCUGCAUGGUGGGGGUUGGAAAGUUUCGGCGGUUGGGGCUGGACUCGCGGCUUACCAGCUUGAUGGUGUGGUAGUGGCUUACCAAGGCUUUGACGGGUAGCCCGCCUGAGAGGGGGACCGGCCACAUUAGGACUGAGAUACGGCCCAGACUCCUACGGGAGGCAGCAGUGGGGAAUAUGGCACAAUAGGCGGAAGCCUGAUGCAGCGACGCCGGGUGCGGGAUAACGGCCUUCGGGUUGUAAACCGCUUUCGAAUGUGACGAAGCGUGAGUGACGGUAAUGGGUAAAGAAGCAACGGCUAACUACGUG
Molecule: ribosomal RNA, 468 nt
Filed under: uncultured bacterium
Lineage: Bacteria
Description: partial 16S ribosomal RNA
Rfam family: Bacterial small subunit ribosomal RNA
Source: RNAcentral